Molecule: long non-coding RNA, 429 nt
Organism: Archocentrus centrarchus (flier cichlid)
Lineage: Eukaryota; Metazoa; Chordata; Actinopteri; Cichliformes; Cichlidae
Exons: 4
Source: RefSeq, a predicted model, not a curated record
UGUACAGUUGCAUUGUGGGAUAUUUACCGGCUGGAGGCGAAUGUUCGCGGGCUAGAGAGCGGGACCAAGGAGGAUUUUCACCGGGUAAUCUUAUGUUGUGAUGUGCUACAGAGGUGUGCUACAGCUGCAGGUCUUAAAGGGACACACAACCUGCCGCCAAGUCCACAACUCAUUGCCCUCAGAGACAACAUUACCCUUCAUCAUGGAUGAUCAGCAUCGAGGGUGAAAUUGUUUGAGGGCGUUCAACCUACGUUCCAGGCUGGUCUCGCAGCACUUUUUGCCACCUUCUACGUUUUUAACCUUGAGUAUCCAGAGGAGGCAGCAUGCACACUGGAGGUUUUUCAAAGGUGAUUCACAGGCCUCAACCCUGAAAGGGGAACAAAGGCUGCAAAAGGAAAAGUAACAUCAAAAAUGACAGGACGACUCGUG